This is a small nuclear RNA of Oryctolagus cuniculus (rabbit), 175 nucleotides long. Its record names the gene U2. It matches the Rfam family "U2 spliceosomal RNA". Rfam says of the family: U2 is a small nuclear RNA (snRNA) component of the spliceosome (involved in pre-mRNA splicing). The record is from Ensembl. NCBI's taxonomy places the organism in Eukaryota, Metazoa, Chordata, Mammalia, Lagomorpha, Leporidae.
AUCACUUCUCGGCCUUUUGGCUAAGAUCAAGUGUAGAAAUAAGCAAGGAACUAUAUCAUAUCUUUUCUUAUUAAUGUCACUUCCCUGUAUAGCCAAUCACGUUUGUUAGAAAUCAUAACAUAAAGGAAAGAGAAAGAUCAAGUAAUCCAUAGUUAACUUGCCUUCCUUACCUAUA